RNAcentral lists this ribosomal RNA (425 nucleotides) under uncultured bacterium. Its description in RNAcentral is "partial 16S ribosomal RNA". It matches the Rfam family "Bacterial small subunit ribosomal RNA", at positions 354 to 796 of the family's 1533-position model. The record is from RNAcentral.
GUUAGGAAUAUUGGACAAUGGGCGCAAGCCUGAUCCAGCCAUGCCGCGUGAGUGAUGAAGGCCUUCGGGUUGUAAAGCUCUUUAGUCCACGAAUAUAAUGACUGUAGUGGAAGAAUAAGCCCCGGCUAACUUCGUGCCAGCAGCCGCGGUAAUACGAGGGGGGCGAGCGUUAUUCGGAAUCACUGGGCGUAAAGCGUGCGUAGGCUGUUUUGUAAGUCAGAAGUGAAAGCCCAGGGCUUAACCCUGGAAUUGCUUUUGAAACUACAAGACUCGAAUUCGGGAGAGGAUAGCGGAAUUGUCAGUGUAGCAGUGAAAUGCGUAGAUAUUGACAGGAACACCAGUGGCGCAAGCGGCUAUCUGGACCGAUAUUGACGCUGAGGCACGAAAGCGUGGGGAGCAAACAGGAUUAGAUACCCGAGUAGUCC